GGGCUUCCCUCUGCUUGCAGACAGCCAGUGCAUGACAAGCAGCUUCCUCCCCAGCUCCUCCAGGCACGGUGUGGCCUCACAGUUGACUUCUGCGAAGUGGAGCAAGGUUCCUGUGUACCCAGGAAGUAUUUGUAAUCGGUUGGCUUCACAAAGGAGAUUUUUUGAUUCUGUCUCGCAGAUGUUGUUUUAAUGCACAUUUGACAGUUGAUUCUCUGCUUUAACAUCACGAUCUGGAAGCUGUUCUCUUUGGAUGUUUACAGCUGUUCUUGGGUUUAACAGCAGUGCUUCCUUCAAACCUUUCCACAGUCCAGGAUUCCUCCCUGAAUUUAUUGUGAGGAAAUGUUGCCUUUAAAAAAAUUAGGAUUCUUAGAGAUGGGUUAGUGAAAGGCAUUAUAUAAUAGCAUGCUAGCACUAGAAGCAGAUUCUGUGACCCAGAAGAUAGCUUCCAGUCCUGUGUUAGUGCUGCCUAUGAUACAAUGACUUAUUUUCAGUGCAACACCACUGAGCAUUGCAAGUUCUCUUCUGACAUGAAAAUCCCCUGAAUGGUGACAGGGAGCAGAUCACUCUUCUGCCAUUGCUAUCAUGUAUUUAUGCUCAGAUGCAACUCCAGUUCAGGAUCUGUGUCCUAUUGUGACCUCUCCUCCAAGGACAGGUAUAGAAAAUGAUCCCUGUCCUGAACUGCCAGGACAAUAGGAAAUGUUAGCAGAUAUUAACUGACAAUUUACAUCUCCUGAUUGUCCUUACAGCAUAAAAUUGAGUGUGGGUUUAUCAUGCAGCUGUGUUGCUGCUCCACUGCAACUGGCAGGUUAGUUUUUAAAUGUGAUUUAUAAAGUGGAUCUUGUUUCCAUGUUGGAAUGCUUUCACAUUACUGCAUGAAAUUUGAAUGUGUCUAAAUAAUGGGAAUGCAGGGGUGGUGGCGGCUGGGAGGCAGGGAUUAUAUGAAAGCUGUCAGGAUGCUCCGAGCACUGUGCUGCAUUAGCCAAGGGAUUUUUAUGGGCACAGAGGCACAAAGUAACCCCUCUAAUCCCUUUCUCACUGGCUUACAGACUCUGAAGAAGCUUAAUAAUUACAGAGGAAUGCAGUCAAAGUGUUUUUAAGGACAUAUGUGCAGAGGCUUAUUUUAGUCAUUUCCUAACGGCAAAUGCACUGGCGGAUUCUCAAGGAGAAAUCUGGGCACAAAUUUUCCCUUCUCUCAACCCCCCAACAAAAAGAUGAUUUAUGCUUGUAUCAGAAAGAGGCUUAACCAGUGUGGAGCUGAAGGAAUAUUUCCCAGCCUGUAGGAUUAUGGUUUUUCCACAGCCACACCACUCACCCUCUCCUUCUGCAUAUACAAAGCAUAUCCCUGUUCUGCUGAGCCUCCCAGAUGGGCUUUUUUUUUCAGUGAAAAGGCCAACAGAAAGCCUGGACGUUCCCUUUAAAAUAUUAUCCUAUCCCUCUGGAGAAGUAUUUCGCCUUCUCUGAAAUCACUGGUUCAGCUGAUGGUGACUCUGCUGCUUAUGUAUCGCUAUCUGAAAAGAUGCUUCCUGAGUAGAAGAAACAUGAAAGAUCAGGAAAGUGACUAACAGCACUAGAACCCUAAUGACGCCUAUCAAGUGCAAUAACUGAAAACACCGAGGAUUGUGGCAGGGAUAACAUAAUGGGCUGUUUAGCACAAUAACUGCCAGCUAUUGUUUUUCAGGCAAAUGACUGAGACAUUGGGAUGAUUACUCUAUAACCAGAGGAAAGCAAAAACACUAAACAGGAUGAGAAAGAGAUUGUAAAACACAGGAAAUAAAACCCUCAGACAAACUUCCUAUAGACAUGAAUUUCACCCCAAAACCAGUCAAGCAUCAAAUUUCCUCCUGAUGUAUGGCAAUAGAGUCAGCACAUUUGUACUGGGUUGGAUAUGUUCUUAUAUAUAUGUAAUUAGGUUUGAUCACAAGUUAGCUCUCUUUGGCAAUAAAAAAUUUACCUUUUGUUGCUUGAAUAUGAAACUUCAGCCCUACUCUGUACACCUUCAUGCUGUCCCAUUGGCUUUAUUGGUAGAAGGGACUAGAGAUGUUAUUUCAUGAUGAAAUGUAAGUAUUUGGAGCAGAAAAUCACCACUGAUGACAACUCCUCAUGCUGAAAUAAAUGUCAUCCAUAAACUCA
This is a long non-coding RNA of Corvus hawaiiensis (hawaiian crow), 2130 nucleotides long. RefSeq lists it as uncharacterized. The record is from RefSeq and is a predicted model, not a curated record. Lineage: Eukaryota; Metazoa; Chordata; Aves; Passeriformes; Corvidae. The transcript has 2 exons.